UGGGGAAUAUUGGACAAUGGGCGAAAGCCUGAUCCAGCCAUGCCGCGUGUGUGAAGAAGGUCUUCGGAUUGUAAAGCACUUUAAGUUGGGAGGAAGGGCAGUAAGCGAAUACCUUGCUGUUUUGACGUUACCGACAGAAUAAGCACCGGCUAACUCUGUGCCAGCAGCCGCGGUAAUACAGAGGGUGCAAGCGUUAAUCGGAAUUACUGGGCGUAAAGCGCGCGUAGGUGGUUCGUUAAGUUGAAUGUGAAAGCCCCGGGCUCAACCUGGGAACUGCAUCCACAACUGGCGAGCUAGAGUAGGGCAGAGGGUGGUGGAAUUUCCUGUGUAGCGGUGAAAUGCGUAGAUAUAGGAAGGAACACCAGUGGCGAAGGCGACCACCUGCGCUCAUACUGACACUGAGGUGCGAUCGCGUGGGGAGCAAACAGG
This 429-nucleotide ribosomal RNA is filed under the name Pseudomonadota bacterium. RNAcentral's name for it is "Proteobacteria bacterium partial 16S ribosomal RNA". It matches the Rfam family "Bacterial small subunit ribosomal RNA", at positions 355 to 776 of the family's 1533-position model. Lineage: Bacteria; Pseudomonadati; Pseudomonadota. The record is from RNAcentral.